GAAAAAAAUAAAUGGCUCUGAAAUGAUUGCAUCAGGCCUUGCAACUCAUUUUGUUUAUUCAAAGGAUAUUGAGUCGAUGGAAAAUGAAUUAUGCCAAGUAUUAUCACUAAACGCAUCAUCGAAAUCUGUUCAUGAAUCGGACAUUUUAAGAAUCAUAAAUGAAUUCGUUCGUAAUCCAGUGUUGAAGGAAGGAAGUAUAUUGAAAAGACUUGAUGCUAUCAAUCGUUG
Molecule: unclassified non-coding RNA, 228 nt
Filed under: Hevea brasiliensis (rubber tree)
Lineage: Eukaryota; Viridiplantae; Streptophyta; Magnoliopsida; Malpighiales; Euphorbiaceae
Source: RNAcentral